GUAGGUGGCAAGCGUUGUCCGGAAUUAUUGGGCGUAAAGCGCGCGCAGGCGGUUUUUUAAGUCUGAUGUGAAAGCCCACGGCUCAACCGUGGAGGGUCAUUGGAAACUGGAGAACUUGAGUACAGAAGAGGAAAGCGGAAUUCCACGUGUAGCGGUGAAAUGCGUAGAGAUGUGGAGGAACACCAGUGGCGAAGGCGGCUUUCUGGUCUGCAACUGACGCUGAGGCGCGAAAGCGUGGGGGAGCAAACAGGAUUAGAUACCCUGGUAGUCCACGCCGUAAACGAUGAGUGCUAAGUGUUAGGGGGUUUCCGCCCCUUAGUGCUGCAGCUAACGCAUUAAGCACUCCGCCUGGGAGUACGGCCGCAAGGCUG
This 371-nucleotide ribosomal RNA is filed under the name uncultured organism. Its description in RNAcentral is "partial 16S ribosomal RNA". It matches the Rfam family "Bacterial small subunit ribosomal RNA", at positions 527 to 896 of the family's 1533-position model. The record is from RNAcentral.